CAAUUCUGAAGUUUUGGAACUUGCUUACAAUGUACUUCCUAUUUACUUAGCAAUUCUCAAAUGAAGAUAAGAAGCUUUUCCAACAGAGCCUUCCAGAACUCCCGCUUAGAAGAUAGCCUUCAAAGCUCAAAACACCAAAGAGCCAGAGCUUUCUCCUCCCCUUCCAAGAACCACGCUGAACAACCCUCGUGGAUGCCCUUUAGAUGGUGCGCAUACUACCUGACUCUUCUUCUUCCCUUGGCAAAAUGUGCCUGUAUUCAAAACUUCAGCUAAUCUACACUUCGAUGUCCUUUCAGAAAGGUCUCUACACUCUAAUAAUAAGUUACAGAAAUACGCAACUGCAGAGAAGCAGGACCCUGGAAUAACUGCAGUCGCUAGUGUACCUCGCUGAAAGAAGUCUAUGAACCAGAGAGACCUCCUAUCCAGGCAGAAGCAAUGAAGGCAGACUGCAAAAGCUGGUACAGAGAACUGCCUGUACCAACUGAUCUGGGGCUUUCCACAUCCUUGCUGCCUGUCUCUUCCGCAGUCUGGAACUGAAGCAACACUACAAGCUCAGACAAGAUUGAUGUCUUUCUCUUGACCUUACAAGCUGUUGAAAGCACGUAACAGUUUUUGUACAGAAAUGAAGAAUUUAUAGCUUCCUCCUAGAAAUUUGGGUUCACAUUCUGGACCUUGAGGCCAGAUUUGAGCAUUACUUGUCACUGUCCCCAAAAUUUGUUCUGUCUCCAUUACUCUUCCUUGACCUCAUGAAAACCCUGUCCUUCUUAAUAGAAAAAUCCUUCAAUGCUACUGCCUGGGGGAAACAUGGCCAGAUAUAGAGGGGCAUGAGGCCUCUGGGGAAAACCAAGGAGGAAUUAUAAAGGGAAAAAGAGAGAGGGAGGGUGAGGGGGUUGGCGAACUUAAAAUUGGGAGCCAAACAGCUAAGUGGUUUGUCUGGCAGCUCUAAAUGUCCUUUACCUACAUCUCAAAGAGGAUAUCCUAGAUUAACAUAACAGGGACAUAAGAGGUUAAUUUGUUACCAUUUCUUUUGUGGCAGGGAUUGUAGGCCAGAUGCUGCAGAUAGUAAGAGAAAUCAUUGUGGAAGACUGCCAGCCAACAAGCAUGGCUAGAGAACGGGGGACAUAAGAAGGGCACACCACAGCCAGGCCUGCAUGGAGAAGCUACAGUCCUUUCCUGUGACCCCAGCAAUGGAUGUCUAAUGAGUUUACAGUUACUUUAUAAUUUCCAGGAUGGCUUCAUCCUGAGAAUUGCUACACUGUACAUACCUGUCAAGUGUAAAGAGAAAACUUCACUUCCCAGUAAGAAAUGAAACAAAAAUCUACUCCUUGGUCUCUCUGAAUUUCCAGAAUCUAGUAGUCUCUGGAUUUCCAGAAUCUAGGCACAUUGACACCAGACAAAGCAAUGACAUUAACAUCAUGAUGCCUUUCCCAAACACAGGGUAUUUCAAAACAUUUCAGGAAAAUAAAGUAUUAACAGAAACUGUCUAAUAAACUCAUGAUGGAACAUUAUUUGCUUUUGUAGCUAAUGAUAAACUUUCUUUUAAACCAGUGUUUGACUUUUUUUUGCUACAACCAUGAAUUGUCUCCACUUGCCAAACACCAGGUUCUAACAAGAGAAUUAUAUCUGCCAAUACCAUAGUUAUAAAACUGUAUCUAACCACCUUAACCAGUUUGAUUUUUUAUGGCAUUACUAGAUAUUCUCUUAGGUUUAGUGAACCGUCCCUACCAUUUUUCUUUGCUUUGUUUUUGUUUACCCUUUGAAAGACUGGUUUGGAAGAGCUGUUCAUGUCACAUAGCAAAUAAAUUAGCCAUGUGACUGUCUCAUGAUUUUGGAAUAUUUUUGCAUCUUAUAUUUCCAUGAUAUAUGAUACAUUUGUUUGCCACACACAUUUUAAAAAUAUAUAAUAGACUGCAUGAAUUCUAAUUAGGAAGACAUAUUUUAAAUCCUUUAUAAUUUUCCUGAUUCCUUUCUCAGACUAUUUGUUGUUUGUAUACAGGAGGGAUACUGAUUUUUGUGAGUUAAUUUUGUAUCCAGCUACUCUACUGAAAGUGUUUUUCAGCAGUAGAUGUUCCUUGAUAAAAAUUUUAGGGUC
Myodes glareolus (Bank vole) is the source of this 2092-nucleotide non-coding RNA. The record is from RefSeq and is a predicted model, not a curated record. Lineage: Eukaryota; Metazoa; Chordata; Mammalia; Rodentia; Cricetidae.